Molecule: ribosomal RNA, 466 nt
Filed under: uncultured bacterium
Lineage: Bacteria
Description: bacterial SSU rRNA
Rfam family: Bacterial small subunit ribosomal RNA
Source: RNAcentral
AGAGUUUGAUCAUGGCUCAGGAUGAACGCUGGCGGCGUGCUUAACACAUGCAAGUCGAACGAUGAUCCCAGCUUGCUGGGGGAUUAGUGGCGAACGGGUGAGUAACACGUGAGUAACCUGCCCUUAACUCUGGGAUAAGCCUGGGAAACUGGGUCUAAUACCGGAUAUGACUCCUCAUCGCAUGGUGGGGGGUGGAAAGCUUUAUUGUGGUUUUGGAUGGACUCGCGGCCUAUCAGCUUGUUGGUGAGGUAAUGGCUCACCAAGGCGACGACGGGUAGCCGGCCUGAGAGGGUGACCGGCCACACUGGGACUGAGACACGGCCCAGACUCCUACGGGAGGCAGCAGUGGGGAAUAUUGCACAAUGGGCGCAAGCCUGAUGCAGCGACGCCGCGUGAGGGAUGACGGCCUUCGGGUUGUAAACCUCUUUCAGUAGGGAAGAAGCGAAAGUGACGGUACCUCAGAAGA